RNAcentral lists this ribosomal RNA (292 nucleotides) under uncultured bacterium. RNAcentral's name for it is "partial 16S ribosomal RNA". The record is from RNAcentral.
GGACUACCGGGGUUUCUAAUCCAGUUCGCUACCCACGCUUUCGUGUUUCAGUGUCAGGAAUGCGCCAGUGAAUUGCCUUCGCUUUUGGUGUUCCCCAUGAUAUCAACGGAUUUCACCCCUACUCCAUGAGUUCCAUUCACCCCUCGCAUCCUCGAGUCGUGCCGUUUCCCUUGCUGACCCCCGGUUAAGCCGAAGAAUUUAACAAGAGACUAACACGACCACCUACACACCCUUUACGCCCAAUGAUUCCGGAUAACGCUUGGGGCACUCGUAUUACCGCGGCUGCUGGCAC